Molecule: ribosomal RNA, 443 nt
Filed under: uncultured bacterium
Lineage: Bacteria
Description: partial 16S ribosomal RNA
Rfam family: Bacterial small subunit ribosomal RNA
Source: RNAcentral
CCUACGGGUGGCAGCAGUGGGGAAUAUUGGACAAUGGGGGGAACCCUGAUCCAGCGACGUCGCGUGAGUGAAGACGUAUUUCGGUAUGUAAAGCUCUUUCAGCAGGGAAGAAAGAAAUGACGGUACCUGACUAAGAAGCCUCGGCUAACUACGUGCCAGCAGCCGCGGUAAUACGUAGGGGGCAAGCGUUAUCCGGAUUUACUGGGUGUAAAGGGAGCGUAGGCGGUGCAGCAAGUCUGAUGUGAAAGGUAGGGGCCCAACCCCGGGACUGCAGUGGAAACUGUUGAACUGGAGUACAGGAGAGGUAAGCGGAAUUCGUGGUGUAGCGGUGAAAUGCGUAGAUAUUAGGAAGAACACCGGUGGCGAAGGCAGCUUACUGGACUGCAACUGACGUUGAGGCUCGAAAGCGUGGGGAGCAAACAGGAUUAGAUACCCGAGUAGUC